GAAGGUGUGCUGUGAGGCAUGCUGGAGGUAUCAGAAGUGCGAAUGCUGACAUAAGUAACGAUAAAGCGGGUGAAAAGCCCGCUCGCCGGAAGACCAAGGGUUCCUGUCCAACGUUAAUCGGGGCAGGGUGAGUCGACCCCUAAGGCGAGGCCGAAAGGCGUAGUCGAUGGGAAACAGGUUAAUAUUCCUGUACUUGGUGUUACUGCGAAGGGGGGACGGAGAAGGCUAUGUCAGCCGGGCGACGGUUGUCCCGGUUUAAGCAUGUAGGCGGAGGUUCCAGGUAAAUCCGGUACCUUUUAACGCUGAGGUGUGAUGACGAGGCACUACGGUGCUGAAGUGAUAAAUGCCCUGCUUCCAGGAAAAGCCUCUAAGCAUCAGGUAACACGAAAUCGUACCCCAAACCGACACAGGUGGUCAGGUAGAGAAUACCAAGGCGCUUGAGAGAACUCGGGUGAAGGAACUAGGCAAAAUGGUGCCGUAACUUCGGGAGAAGGCACGCUGAUGUGUAGGUGAAGCCCCUGCGGGUGGAGCUGAAAUCAGUCGAAGAUACCAGCUGGCUGCAACUGUUUAUUAAAAACACAGCACUGUGCAAACACGAAAGUGGACGUAUACGGUGUGACGCCUGCCCGGUGCCGGAAGGUUAAUUGAUGGGGUUAGCGGCAACGCGAAGCUCUUGAUCGAAGCCCCGGUAAACGGCGGCCGUAACUAUAACGGUCCUAAGGUAGCGAAAUUCCUUGUCGGGUAAGUUCCGACCUGCACGAAUGGCGUAAUGAUGGCCAGGCUGUCUCCACCCGAGACUCAGUGAAAUUGAACUCGCUGUGAAGAUGCAGUGUACCCGCGGCAAGACGGAAAGACCCCGUGAACCUUUACUAUAGCUUGACACUGAACACUGGUCCUUGAUGUGUAGGAUAGGUGGGAGGCUUUGAAGCGUGGACGCCAGUCUGCGUGGAGCCAACCUUGAAAUACCACCCUUUAAUGGCUGGUGUUCUAACGUAGACCCGUUACCCGGGUUGCGGACAGUGUCUGGUGGGUAGUUUGACUGGGGCGGUCUCCUCCCAAAGAGUAACGGAGGAGCACGAAGGUUGGCUAAUCCUGGUCGGACAUCAGGAGGUUAGUGCAAUGGCAUAAGCCAGCUUGACUGCGAGCGUGACGGCGCGAGCAGGUGCGAAAGCAGGUCAUAGUGAUCCGGUGGUUCUGAAUGGAAGGGCCAUCGCUCAACGGAUAAAAGGUACUCCGGGGAUAACAGGCUGAUACCGCCCAAGAGUUCAUAUCGACGGCGGUGUUUGGCACCUCGAUGUCGGCUCAUCACAUCCUGGGGCUGAAGUAGGUCCCAAGGGUAUGGCUGUUCGCCAUUUAAAGUGGUACGCGAGCUGGGUUUAGAACGUCGUGAGACAGUUCGGUCCCUAUCUGCCGUGGGCGCUGGAGAAUUGAGGGGGGCUGCUCCUAGUACGAGAGGACCGGAGUGGACGCAUCACUGGUGUUCGGGUUGUCAUGCCAAUGGCACUGCCCGGUAGCUAAAUGCGGAAGAGAUAAGUGCUGAAAGCAUCUAAGCACGAAACUUGCCCCGAGAUGAGUUCUCCCUGAGACCUUGAGUCUCCUGAAGGAACGUU
This 1610-nucleotide ribosomal RNA is filed under the name Enterobacter hormaechei. RNAcentral's name for it is "partial 23S ribosomal RNA". It matches the Rfam family "Bacterial large subunit ribosomal RNA", at positions 1252 to 2839 of the family's 2925-position model. The record is from RNAcentral. Lineage: Bacteria; Pseudomonadati; Pseudomonadota; Gammaproteobacteria; Enterobacterales; Enterobacteriaceae.